AAGUCGUAACAAGGUUUCCCCGGAAGGAUCAUUAGCCACCCGUGCACCUUCAUCCUUCUUGCUUUCUACUACUAGUCUUAGCAUUACUUGCAUCUUGAGUUUCGGAGUGUCUGUGUUCCCGGAGGCGGAAUAGCAACGCCCUCGCAAGGGAGGUUCGGCGCAGUUAGCGAGUUAUGUGUGUCAUGACGAAAAUAACCAAAGAGGAGGACCGAACCUUUUGCUUUACUUGCGAAGCUGUCUUGGCCUAAGAUAUACACUAGCCAGGGCAGUUCGAGGCUCCUCUCCGGCUUGCAUAACUCUUGCUGAUAAGACUUGCCUCACAGAUUGAUUUCAUAAAACCAUGGAAAACUAAGUCUUCCGCUCGGGCCCUAACGCGGUCCGAGAGUCCCCGAACACUGUUAACAACACUGGCGCUCUUGGCUCUU
Molecule: unclassified non-coding RNA, 425 nt
Filed under: fungal sp.
Lineage: Eukaryota; Fungi
Description: partial internal transcribed spacer region
Source: RNAcentral